AUCCCUUUCUUCCUGUCAACUCCCAGAAUCUUGGCACCCCUGGUCCAGCUCUGUCCCACUCUCGAGGUCCCAGCCAUCCCCUGGACCUGGGGACCUCCUCUCCUAACACCUCUCAGAUACACUGGACCCCGUACCGGGCGAUGUACCAGUACAGGCCCCAGAACGAAGACGAGCUGGAGCUGCGCGAGGGGGACAGGGUGGACGUCAUGCAGCAGUGUGACGAUGGCUGGUUUGUGGGUGUCUCCCGGAGGACCCGGAAAUUCGGAACGUUCCCUGGAAAUUACGUUGCCCCGGUGUGAGUGGUCUCCAUGGCAACUUGGAGCCAGCCAGGAUGGGGUGGGGAGCGGUGGCACUCGUGGGAGGGAGAGGACCCCCGCCCACCUCCUCCUUCCCCAGGACCUGAGCUCCCAGCAUCUGCAGACGACCCCCGCAGCCUUUCCCUCGGACCCCCCUCGAAGCCCCCUGGACUGAUUCCCACCCACGACUCACAGGCAUUCCUCCCACAGCCCUUUCAUUUCCUCCCCACCCCACUCCCCAAAUACAGAGGUCUGCUUUGAAGCAGAGACCAUUUCCAGG
Molecule: small RNA, 576 nt
Filed under: Pan troglodytes (chimpanzee)
Lineage: Eukaryota; Metazoa; Chordata; Mammalia; Primates; Hominidae
Description: retained intron
Source: RNAcentral